RNAcentral lists this long non-coding RNA (1067 nucleotides) under Dromaius novaehollandiae (emu). RNAcentral's name for it is "lncRNA (ENSDNVG00000004509.1)". Lineage: Eukaryota; Metazoa; Chordata; Aves; Casuariiformes; Dromaiidae. The record is from RNAcentral.
GGGGUGGCCGCCCCCGGGGGGUCACAGCCACCGGGCAGCCGGUGCGCAGCUCCUGGCUGGAAAUCUGGUCCUGCAAACGCAGCGACUGCGGGUAACAGCCCGGCGAAAGGGGAGCGAGGAGGGGAAAAACCUUCUGAACUUGGCCGUGUGGUCAGUGCAGUAUUGUGGGUUGGGGGUUUAGAAAAGCUAUGAACCUGGCUGGAAAGCCUCUCCGUGAUUCAUCCCGUUUUCACCCUGACUUUGGUACCCAGUGUUUCGGGAGAGCAGAUGCGUCUGUGCUUUUUUUUGGCUUUUUGGGGAGCCGUGAUGUGUGCUGGGAAGGGGCUUCUCGACAUGACCGGCCCUUUGCCUGCUCUGCCGCGUGCCUUGCUGGUUUCCCUGGUACUCAGUYCUGCCUAGGCGGACCUGAUGGGAGCCCGCUGGAAAAUUCCUAAGGACUUGAAGGUCCUGCGCCGCGCGGGAGGGAGACCAUGUUCCGCUUGCGAGUCGGUGCCCGCAGCCCGAGUCUCCGUCUGUCCCUACACGUGACAUGGGCUGAGCAUCCCUGUCCUGACAGUGGGAGCGGGCUCUGCUCAUUAGAGAGUGUUUCAAGCAACUCCGUUCAUAGCCCACAGGAACAUGGGAUUUUAAUUUACCCACUUGCUUCAGAGCUCGAAAAUCCACUGCUGCAAUCAGGACAGUUGCAGCUUUGAUUAAAAAUCCUAAAGGCAAGUCUCGUGUGUUUUGCUUCCUCCCUUCUACAAGCAGAAAGAAGAUUGGGUGCAUAAAAUAAUGAUGAGCGAGUUCAAAGCCAUCGCAGAAAGCUGCCCUGAGAGGACGUUCUCUAAUGCGACUCCAGCCCUUUACCGUUCUUCUUCCUCGCUGAGUGAGCGCCAACACAACAGACACAGUCUGGCAAGAGCCACUGCCGACAGUCCCCAAAUGCAGAAAUGCGCCUGCUGCGUGCGUGCGGGCGAAGGAGCCACGGCAAAGGCUUUAUUAGAGCAGCUUCCCUCUGAGACACGAGCAAACAAGCUGAGGACUGCCAAAUCAAAUCUUUCCGCAGGAAGCAGAAGAACAAGUUAAGG